RNAcentral lists this ribosomal RNA (412 nucleotides) under uncultured microorganism. Its description in RNAcentral is "bacterial SSU rRNA". It matches the Rfam family "Bacterial small subunit ribosomal RNA", at positions 9 to 429 of the family's 1533-position model. The record is from RNAcentral.
GAGUUUGAUCUUGGCUCAGAUUGAACGCUGGCGGCAUGCCUUACACAUGCAAGUCGAACGGUAACAGGUCUUCGGAUGCUGACGAGUGGCGAACGGGUGAGUAAUACAUCGGAACGUGCCCAGACGUGGGGGAUAACGAGGCGAAAGCUUUGCUAAUACCGCAUACGAUCUAAGGAUGAAGCAGGGGACCGCAAGGCCUUGCGCGUUUGGAGCGGCCGAUGGCAGAUUAGGUAGUUGGUGGGAUAAAAGCUUACCAAGCCGACGAUCUGUAGCUGGUCUGAGAGGACGACCAGCCACACUGGGACUGAGACACGGCCCAGACUCCUACGGGAGGCAGCAGUGGGAAUUUUGGACAGUGGGCGAAAGCCUGAUCCAGCAAUGCCGCGUGCAGGAUGAAGGCCUCGGUUGUAAC